RNAcentral lists this long non-coding RNA (277 nucleotides) under Arabidopsis thaliana (thale cress). RNAcentral's name for it is "ncRNA (AT1G09507)". The record is from RNAcentral. Lineage: Eukaryota; Viridiplantae; Streptophyta; Magnoliopsida; Brassicales; Brassicaceae.
GUGGCUGUACGCUCACUCACUCCUCCUAUGCCUCCUUAGACGGCGUUCUCUAUAACCAACUCUUCCUCGAAAAAGGAAACUAUCCCAAAGUCUUGAUUAUCUCUUGCUGUAUGAUCGGGGAAAGAAAAAUGAUUUUCAUUUACAAUGGGUUGUUUCCAUAUCAGACAUGAUUUUCUUUCAGUUGAAUAUAAUUUUGUUUAGUUUUACCUUAAUAAAAACUACAAGAAAUAACCAAACAUCCCACGAAUUGGUUUAAUAAUUUCAAACAAAGAAAUCA